GCUUAAAUACUGGACUCAGCCGCCAUAUCGGUCUUUCGGAGCUCGGAGUGGGGCAGAUAUGUUGCCGUGUACCUCUCUGGGACAGUUGGCAUCAUACAGACAGAUCUUUGGCCAAGUGGGAUGAAGAGUGAGGAACUGAAAGAAGUUGGACUAGCCAUGGGUGUACAGAGUGCUAUAAUGGAAAAGCAAGAUGAAAUGCGAGAAGUGAUGGAGAUGGCAGAUAAAUGGGCAAACAUGGCUUGGUGAUGGAAUUAGUUGGACAACUUUGAAACUACUGGUUGCAUGUUUUCAUUUGGAUGGCUUGCUUGGGUAUGAAUCCUGCCUACGUACCAGAAGAGUGCAUUGGAGAAGCAGUCUUUGCUCUUUUAAGUUCACCUUUUAAAUGAAGGUGUCUUGCAUGGCUCUCGACUGAAGGCUCCAGGAAGCUUUUACAUGAAGAUCCUUCAUUUUGAAUUUCAAGGGCUCCUAUGGCAGAAGUGGACAGAUUGACAAUUUCACAUCACUAUUUAAAAGGUGACUGGAUGGAGACUCAGAAGAUUACCUCAGGCUGUUUUCCCAUCAUAGUCAAUAAACUGAAUGGAAUUAAAUACAAAGUGUGUGUUUGGUUCUCUAGCAGGAACAAGUAGAGAAGAUUGUUCAGGCAUGGGUUUAUGUCUAUACAUGUGUUCCUAAGCCUUUCUCAGGAUGAGCUUUUAAAGCAAGCACAUGACUCAUAGCUUCAGUUUAAAAAUUGGCAGGUAGUGCUUGAGUUGAUAGCACUGAAAAGGUGUGAGGGCUGCAGGCAAACUAGUUAUUGGAAGCAUUUGGGCUGCACAGCUGGGAAUGAAACUAGAGGAUUGGUUUGAAAAGAGUAGAAGUGAACAUCUGCACUUAACCCUCCUGGCCUGA
Long non-coding RNA from Microtus ochrogaster (prairie vole), 888 nucleotides. RefSeq lists it as uncharacterized. The record is from RefSeq and is a predicted model, not a curated record. The transcript is spliced from 12 exons. NCBI's taxonomy places the organism in Eukaryota, Metazoa, Chordata, Mammalia, Rodentia, Cricetidae.